CAAAUCACACAAAUAAAAGAAAAAGUUAGAAACUGGGUUGCCUCCCAGCAAGCGCUCUUUUUAUGUCACUAGCUUGACCCGAUAGAGUUCAAACACCCAUCAGUAGGUGUUGAUACUCCCCUCGCUUGAUAUUCUUUUCUUUUUCUUCUUCCUACUGAAUUUCUUCAUAAAGUUGAGAACACCAAGCACAUAUCCCCAUGUAUCAAUCAUAGGAACUUUAAUCUCCAAUUUCUUGAAGAUCUCCAUAAAGCACUUAAACCUAUCUUCUUUCCUAUGAUAUUUCUUUUGAGGAAGAGGUUCUGCAUAUAAUCAUUUCUUCUUACCUCUCUUCCUCUUCUUCUCACUCUUCUCCCUUAACUUUCUCUUUUUCGUUUUUCUUUCUUUCUUUAUUUUCACAAUUUUUCUUUUUUUUUUUUCUUUUCUCUCAACCACUAUUUUUUUCUUAUCAUCAUUUUUAUCCCCCUCACUUAACUUUUCUUCUUCCUCUCCAUCUCUCUCUAUCCCUCUCUUCUUCUUAUCAACAACCUUAUCACUUUCAGAGAUAGUGGCUUGAGAUUCCUUCCUAUGGUUAACUUCAGUACUAACCUUAGAAUUAUUCAGAGAUGCAGUCACGUAAUUUAGUUCUAUCUCCUUCCUUGCGUCAUCACAUUCUGAAAGUAAAUAAUAUUCUACAGUACUUGUUGGAAUGUCUCUUCACGACUUUCUGAUGGAGAUAGUUGCUGCCAAUGUUGUUUAUUUUCCUCCAACCAUUGUUGUUCAGCUUCUCUGAAUGUUUUUCUUGGCAUAGAGGAUUGUUUNUGCCAAAGACAUCGUUCAACUUCCUUCUCUCUUUCUCUAAGUGUAGGAGAAUAUUGUUGCCUUUGGCGCUCUGCUUCUUUAAGUGAAGGACUAUAUUAAUGUCUUUGACGCUCUCAUAACUCCUCACGUUUUUCCAUCUCCUCCAAACUUCUGACGAAAGACAUAUUCAUACUUGUCAUCCGCUGAAUAAAUUCAUCAUCUGUGGUAUCCCUG
This 1011-nucleotide long non-coding RNA is filed under the name Vigna radiata. Its description in RNAcentral is "long non-coding RNA (VRAD_LNC008258)". The record is from RNAcentral. Lineage: Eukaryota; Viridiplantae; Streptophyta; Magnoliopsida; Fabales; Fabaceae.